RNAcentral lists this ribosomal RNA (500 nucleotides) under uncultured bacterium. Its description in RNAcentral is "partial 16S ribosomal RNA". It matches the Rfam family "Bacterial small subunit ribosomal RNA", at positions 30 to 523 of the family's 1533-position model. The record is from RNAcentral.
AUUGAACGCUGGCGGCAUGCCUUACACAUGCAAGUCGAACGGCAGCACGGGAGCAAUCCUGGUGGCGAGUGUCGAACGGGUGAGUAAAGUAUCGGAACGUGCCCAGUCGUGGGGGAUAACGUAGCGAAAGGUACGCUAAUACCGCAUCCGAUCUAUGGAUGAAAGCGGGGGUUCGCAAGACCUCGCUCGAUUGGAGCGGCCGAUAUCAGGUUAGGUAGUUGGGGGGGUAAAGGCUAACCAGGCCGACGAGCUGUAGCUGGCCUGAGAGGACGACCAGCCACGCUGGGACUGAGACACGGCCCAGACUCCUACGGGAGGCAACAGUGGGGAAUUUUGGACAAUGGGCGAAAGCCUGAUCCAGCCAUGCCGCGUGCAGGAUGAAGGCCUUCGGGUUGUAAACUGCUUUUGUACGGAACGAAAAGGUUUGGCCUAAUAAGCUGAGCUCAUGACGGUACCGUAAGAAUAAGCACCGGCUAACUACGUGCCAGCAGCCGCCGUAA